Small nucleolar RNA from Cottoperca gobio, 80 nucleotides. Lineage: Eukaryota; Metazoa; Chordata; Actinopteri; Perciformes; Bovichtidae. The record is from Ensembl.
CCCAUGCAUAUAUGAUGAUACACAUGUUGGUAGGGACAUCUGAGUAAAGUGAAGAAUGCCAACUGUUCUGACCGCAUGGG